ACGUAGGCGGCAAGCGUUGUCCGGAAUUAUUGGGCGUAAAGGGAGCGCAGGCGGGAAACUAAGCGGAUCUUAAAAGUGCGGGGCUCAACCCCGUGAUGGGGUCCGAACUGGUUUUCUUGAGUGCAGGAGAGGAAAGCGGAAUUCCCAGUGUAGCGGUGAAAUGCGUAGAUCUUGGGAAGAACACCAGUGGCGAAGGCGGCUUUCUGGCCUGUAACUGACGCUGAGGCUCGAAAGCUAGGGUAGCGAACGC
This 250-nucleotide ribosomal RNA is filed under the name uncultured bacterium. Its description in RNAcentral is "partial 16S ribosomal RNA". It matches the Rfam family "Bacterial small subunit ribosomal RNA", at positions 525 to 775 of the family's 1533-position model. The record is from RNAcentral.